GGGGUCGUAGCUUAAUUGGUAGAGCACCUGAUUGUCGAUCAGGGUGGUGAGAGUUCAAGCCUCUUCGGUCCCGCCA
RNAcentral lists this transfer RNA (76 nucleotides) under Gammaproteobacteria bacterium. RNAcentral's name for it is "tRNA-Asp". It matches the Rfam family "tRNA". Rfam says of the family: Transfer RNA (tRNA) molecules are approximately 80 nucleotides in length. Their secondary structure includes four short double-helical elements and three loops (D, anti-codon, and T loops). Further hydrogen bonds mediate the characteristic L-shaped molecular structure. tRNAs have two regions of fundamental functional importance: the anti-codon, which is responsible for specific mRNA codon recognition, and the 3' end, to which the tRNAs corresponding amino acid is attached (by aminoacyl-tRNA synthetases). tRNAs cope with the degeneracy of the genetic code in two manners: having more than one tRNA (with a specific anti-codon) for a particular amino acid; and 'wobble' base-pairing, i.e. permitting non-standard base-pairing at the 3rd anti-codon position. Lineage: Bacteria; Pseudomonadati; Pseudomonadota; Gammaproteobacteria. The record is from RNAcentral.